This 150-nucleotide small RNA is filed under the name Planktothrix agardhii. RNAcentral's name for it is "HEARO". It matches the Rfam family "HNH endonuclease-associated RNA and ORF (HEARO) RNA", at positions 1 to 132 of the family's 211-position model. Lineage: Bacteria; Bacillati; Cyanobacteriota; Cyanophyceae; Oscillatoriales; Microcoleaceae. The record is from RNAcentral.
GUCAACAACCCACCACUGACUUGAGUACAAGUGCAGUGGGGGCUUGAAAUCAAGCCCAAGUUGACCAGACUGUGUACUAAUCAUGUACUCCGUUAGUGGCAAGUGUUCAAGUUCUUACCUACGGAUGCGAAGCUAGUCUGUAGCUCUAAA